Molecule: ribosomal RNA, 1131 nt
Filed under: Cyanobium sp. UMPCCC 1116
Lineage: Bacteria; Bacillati; Cyanobacteriota; Cyanophyceae; Synechococcales; Prochlorococcaceae
Description: bacterial SSU rRNA
Rfam family: Bacterial small subunit ribosomal RNA
Source: RNAcentral
GGGGAAUUUUCCGCAAUGGGCGCAAGCCUGACGGAGCAACGCCGCGUGAGGGACGAAGGCCUCUGGGCUGUAAACCUCUUUUCUCAAGGAAGAAGACAUGACGGUACUUGAGGAAUAAGCCACGGCUAAUUCCGUGCCAGCAGCCGCGGUAAUACGGGAGUGGCAAGCGUUAUCCGGAAUUAUUGGGCGUAAAGCGUCCGCAGGCGGCCCAGCAAGUCUGUUGUUAAAAAGUGGAGCUUAACUCCAUCCAGGCAAUGGAAACUGCUGGGCUAGAGUGUGGUAGGGGCAGAGGGAAUUCCCGGUGUAGCGGUGAAAUGCGUAGAUAUCGGGAAGAACACCAGUGGCGAAGGCGCUCUGCUGGGCCAUAACUGACGCUCAUGGACGAAAGCCAGGGGAGCGAAAGGGAUUAGAUACCCCUGUAGUCCUGGCCGUAAACGAUGAACACUAGGUGUCGGGGGAAUCGACCCCCUCGGUGUCGUAGCCAACGCGUUAAGUGUUCCGCCUGGGGAGUACGCACGCAAGUGUGAAACUCAAAGGAAUUGACGGGGGCCCGCACAAGCGGUGGAGUAUGUGGUUUAAUUCGAUGCAACGCGAAGAACCUUACCAGGGUUUGACAUCCUGCGAAUCCCUUGGAAACUUGGGAGUGCCUUCGGGAGCGCAGUGACAGGUGGUGCAUGGCUGUCGUCAGCUCGUGUCGUGAGAUGUUGGGUUAAGUCCCGCAACGAGCGCAACCCACGUCUUUAGUUGCCAGCAUUUAGUUGGGCACUCUAGAGAGACCGCCGGUGAUAAACCGGAGGAAGGUGUGGAUGACGUCAAGUCAUCAUGCCCCUUACAUCCUGGGCUACACACGUACUACAAUGCUACGGACAAAGGGCAGCAAACUCGCGAGAGCUAGCAAAUCCCAUAAACCGUGGCUCAGUUCAGAUCGUAGGCUGCAACUCGCCUACGUGAAGGAGGAAUCGCUAGUAAUCGCAGGUCAGCAUACUGCGGUGAAUACGUUCCCGGGCCUUGUACACACCGCCCGUCACACCAUGGAAGUUGGCCAUGCCCGAAGUCGUUACUCCAACCCGUAAGGGAGGAGGACGCCGAAGGUGGGGCUGAUGACUGGGGUGAAGUCGUAACAAGGUAACC